RNAcentral lists this ribosomal RNA (301 nucleotides) under uncultured bacterium. Its description in RNAcentral is "partial 16S ribosomal RNA". It matches the Rfam family "Bacterial small subunit ribosomal RNA", at positions 509 to 807 of the family's 1533-position model. The record is from RNAcentral.
CAGUCGCCGCGGGAAUACGAAGGGUGCAAGCGUUACUCGGAAUUACUGGGCGUAAAGCGUGCGUAGGUGGUGGUUUAAGUCCGUUGUGAAAGCCCUGGGCUCAACCUGGGAAUUGCAGUGGAUACUGGGUCACUAGAGUGUGGUAGAGGAUAGUGGAAUUUCCGGUGUAGCAGUGAAAUGCGUAGAGAUCGGAAGGAACAUCUGUGGCGAAGGCGACUAUCUGGGCCAACACUGACACUGAGGCACGAAAGCGUGGGGAGCAAACAGGAUUAGAGACCCCUGUAGUCCCUGUCUCUUAUAC